Molecule: ribosomal RNA, 599 nt
Filed under: uncultured earthworm cast bacterium
Lineage: Bacteria
Description: bacterial SSU rRNA
Rfam family: Bacterial small subunit ribosomal RNA
Source: RNAcentral
CGGCGAACGGGUGAGUAACACGUGAGUAAUCUGCCCUUCACUUGGGGAUAACUACCGGAAACGGUGGCUAAUACCCAAUACGACAACUCCACGCAUGUGGUGGUUGUGGAAAGUUUUUUCGGUGGAGGAUGUGCUCGCGGCCUAUCAGCUUGUUGGUGGGGUAAUGGCCUACCAAGGGUUCGACGGGUAGCCGGCCUGAGAGGGUGACCGGCCACACUGGGACUGAGACACGGCCCAGACUCCUACGGGAGGCAGCACUGGGGAAUAUUGGACAAUGGGCGGAAGCCUGAUCCAGCAACGCCGCGUGAGGGAUGACGGCCUUCGGGUUGUAAACCUCUUUCAGCGGGGACGAAGCGCCGAUGAUGGUGGUGACGGUACCCGCAGAAGAAGCACCGGCCAACUACGUGCCAGCAGCCGCGGUAAUACGUAGGGUGCGAGCGUUGUCCGGAAUUAUUGGGCGUAAAGGGCUCGUAGGCGGUUUGUCGCGUCGGGAGUGAAAACUCACAGCUUAACUGUGGGCGUGCUUUCGAUACGGGCAGACUACAGGCAUGCAGGGGAGAACGGAAUUCCUGGUGUAGCGGUGAAAUGCGCAGAUAUCA